ACAUAUUUAUUCAUCACAUAUAUAGUAUAAUUCAUUAUGUAAUUAAUUAAACAUAUGUGCACUUUUUAAUAAUAAAUUGCUAUUUGUCGAAUGAAGUGCUUUAUUUUUAUUAGCAUUAAUUAAUUAAACAUUUUUUUUUUUCACCCAUUUAUCAUUUUUUAAUUUUUUUUUUACUAUUUUUGACAUUUUUUUUAUUUUUUUACUACUUUUAAAGCUUAGUUUUUUUUUUUUUUGACUUAUUUUACUUUAUAUAUAUGCAUACAUUAUACAUUGUCCUAGCCUUUUCUACAUCAUUACGAUUAGCCAAAUAAUAUAAACACGUUUAAAACGUUUUUUUUAUUUUAUUUAUUUAUUCAUUUAUUUAUUUUUUGUUUUUUUUUAUUUAUUUUUUUUUUUUAAUUAUAUUUAAAUCAAAAUAAAUGCAAUCGCGAAUGUAAACGCUUUUAAGCUUCACCAUGAUUUAAUUAAUAUAGAUAACAUAUCAAUAUAUAUAUAUAUUGACAUGUAUUAUAUACAUUGCAUGCAACGUUUGCAUCUACAAAGUAUGUAUUAUUGAGGACACAUUCAUUUUAAAUAAGAUUCUAAUAUUUUUGGUAAAAAAAAAAAAAAAAAAAGUUUAAUCAUAAGCACAAGCAUUAGUACAAGCACAAGCAUAAACACAAGCAUAAACACAAACAUAAACAUAAACACAAGCACAAGCAUAAACACAAGCAUAAACACAAACAUAAACAUAAACACAAGCAUAAGCAUAUGCAUAUGCAUAUGCAUAAUCAUACAAUAAAAAAUAUUUACUCAUAUGUAUAAUUAUAAUGUUAUGUAAAUAUACUUUUUCAUUUGUAAGGUUAAAAAAAAAUAAAUAAAAUAAAUAAAUAACACGAAUAGUAGUUACUACUAUACUGUGUUUAUUAUAGUCACUACAAAAUAUAUUAAAAACACGUAUAAGAAAAUAAUGAAAAGAAAGAACUAUGGCAGUAAAUACGAAGAUGUUGAUAAAAAUGAUGAAAAGAAAAGGCAGGGACAUAGAAAGUACGAAGGGAAGAGGAAAGAAGAUGAAAAAUAUAUGACACACAAUAACAAAAAAAAAAAAAAAAAAAUGCAAAAUGCUGUGACUACUACUCUAGAAAAAAGUUAUAAUAAUAAGGGUUAUAAUAAUGGUAAUCAUAUUAAGGAUAAUAAUUAUAACAAAAAGGAACAAGUGGAUGAACAAACAAGAGAAAUAGUACUACUAGAAGGAGAAACCACCAAACCGAUAAAAAAAAAACAAAACGGAUUAAAUCAUGAUAUACCAUUUAAAAAAUUAAAGUCCAAUAGACAUACAAAUAUAAACAGAUCUGAAAAUAAUUUUAAUUAUAAAGAGUAUUUAUUUUCACUCUUUUUAAAAAAAAAGAUUUCAGCGAUAGAUGAAUAUACAUAUGGUAAACAAAAUAUUAUCAAUAAAAUGCCAUCCAUGGAUUUAUUUUUUUUAAAUAACUAUACAAUAACUUCAGAUAA
This 1491-nucleotide long non-coding RNA is filed under the name Piliocolobus tephrosceles (Ugandan red Colobus). Its description in RNAcentral is "lncRNA (ENSPTEG00000012083.1)". The record is from RNAcentral. Lineage: Eukaryota; Metazoa; Chordata; Mammalia; Primates; Cercopithecidae.